GGUUAGGUUCUGGUCUGUGGCUGGAGUAGGGCGCUUUGGGGGGUGGGGGGGUAUUAGGUUAGCCGUGAGUAGCCGCCCGUCAGUAGGGAUCUUCGGCCGAGUUAGCCUCUCCUUGCUUCCUUCUGCGUUUGCCUCUCUCAGUUCUGUAGCCGCCUUGCUUCUGUUUCCUUGCUAGUCAGCCUUCGUUCGCCUGCCUGGCUGCUCUCUGCUC
RNAcentral lists this long non-coding RNA (211 nucleotides) under Dunaliella salina. Its description in RNAcentral is "long non-coding RNA (DSAL_LNC000279)". Lineage: Eukaryota; Viridiplantae; Chlorophyta; Chlorophyceae; Chlamydomonadales; Dunaliellaceae. The record is from RNAcentral.